This 710-nucleotide ribosomal RNA is filed under the name uncultured Inocybe. RNAcentral's name for it is "eukaryotic LSU rRNA". The stretch from base 332 to 484 matches the Rfam family "5.8S ribosomal RNA". The record is from RNAcentral. Lineage: Eukaryota; Fungi; Basidiomycota; Agaricomycetes; Agaricales; Cortinariaceae.
UCUCGUUCUUUUAGAGAAGAUAAAAGUGUUAACACAAUUCCUCUAGAGGAGAACCUGGAGGAGGAUCAUUAUAAUAAAACGGAUCAGCAAGGGCUGUUGGCUCCCCUCCAGGGGGUAUGUGCACGCCUGUCAUCUUUAUAUUAUCCCAACUGUGCACCUUUGGUAGACCGGAUGGAUACCGCUUGAUUCAUCGAGGGAGUUGGGGAUCGCUGCGCUUUUGUCAAGUUGCCUUUCCCUUUUAUUUUUUCAGGUUUAUCUCACUAUCCCAAACUUAUGAAUGGGUUUUUGAAUUUUGACAUGGGUGAAGUAGUCCCUAUAAAGUGAAAUAUACAACUUUCAGCAGAGGAUAUCUAGUCUUUGGCUUUGAUGAAGCACCCAGCGAACUGCGGCAAGUAAAGGGACUCACAGAAUUCAGUGUAUCAUAGAUUUUUUGAACCCAUUUUUCGCUCCUCGGUAUUGGGAGGAGCAAAGGGUUUGAGUGUCAUCUUAAUCCUCAAAACCACAUCUGAUUCAAAAGGUAGGCUUUGGAAAAGGGGGUAUAAGGGUCAGGUGUCAUCAUUAACAAAGGAAGUAUGCUCCCCUGAAAAGCGAUAGAGGAAUCUGAGCAGAGAAUUUCGACAGGUGUGAUAACUCAUCCAAGCAUGGUUAAUCCUUCACCAACAGAUUCCUCUGCUUAUAACCAAAAACCCAUAUAAACGUGACGUCAUCUC